Molecule: unclassified non-coding RNA, 275 nt
Filed under: Orbiliales sp.
Lineage: Eukaryota; Fungi; Ascomycota; Orbiliomycetes; Orbiliales
Description: partial contains 5.8S ribosomal RNA, internal transcribed spacer 2, and large subunit ribosomal RNA
Source: RNAcentral
CGCACAUUGCGCCCACUGGUAUUCCGCUGGGCACGUCUGUUUGAGCGUCAUCACAAACUUUCGGCUUGACAUUUUUGUUGACCGGUGUUGAGUUUGGUGAUUACCUGGCCCUUGCGUCAGGAACCGGCUUUAAAGUUGUGUGCUCUGCGGGACACCGACCCAGGAAAACAUAGUAAAAUUGCUACCUGUUGAACUGCGAUUGGUGAUGCCCUGCCUGAAUAAACCUCUUUUUGAAGUUUGACCUCAGAUCAGACGAGGAUACCCGCUGAACUUAA